CCAUAGAGUUUGAUCCUGGCUCAGGACGAACGCUGGCGGCGUGCUUAACACAUGCAAGUCGAACGGAAAGGCCCUUCGGGGUGCUCGAGUGGCGAACGGGUGAGUAACACGUGGGUGAUCUGCCCUGCACUUUGGGAUAAAGCCUGGGAAACUGGGUCUAAUACCGAAUAGGACCCCGGCCUUCAUGGGUUGUGGUGGAAAGCUUUUGCGGUGUGGGAUGGGCCCGCGGCCUAUCAGCUUGUUGGUGGGGUAAUGGCCUACCAAGGCGACGACGGGUAGCCGGCCUGAGAGGGUGACCGGCCACACUGGGACUGAGAUACGGCCCAGACUCCUACGGGAGGCAGCAGUGGGGAAUAUUGCACAAUGGGCGCAAGCCUGAUGCAGCGACGCCGCGUGGGGGAUGACGGCCUUCGGGUUGUAAACCUCUUUCAGCACAGACGAAGCGUGAGUGACGGUAUGUGCAGAAGAAGCACCGGCCAACUACGUGCCAGCAGCCGCGGUAAUACGUAGGGUGCGAGCGUUGUCCGGAAUUACUGGGCGUAAAGAGCUCGUAGGUGGUUUGUCGCGUUGUUCGUGAAAACUCACAGCUUAACUGUGGGCGUGCGGGCGAUACGGGCAGACUGGAGUACUGCAGGGGAGACUGGAAUUCCUGGUGUAGCGGUGGAAUGCGCAGAUAUCAGGAGGAACACCGGUGGCGAAGGCGGGUCUCUGGGCAGUAACUGACGCUGAGGAGCGAAAGCGUGGGGAGCGAACAGGAUUAGAUACCCUGGUAGUCCACGCCGUAAACGGUGGGUACUAGGUGUGGGUUUCCUUCCUUGGGAUUCCGUGCCGUAGCUAACGCAUUAAGUACCCCGCCUGGGGAGUACGGCCGCAAGGCUAAAACUCAAAGGAAUUGACGGGGGCCCGCACAAGCGGCGGAGCAUGUGGAUUAAUUCGAUGCAACGCGAAGAACCUUACCUGGGUUUGACAUGCACAGGACGCCGGCAGAGAUGUCGGUUCCCUUGUGGUCUGUGUGCAGGUGGUGCAUGGCUGUCGUCAGCUCGUGUCGUGAGAUGUUGGGUUAAGUCCCGCAACGAGCGCAACCCUUGUCCUAUGUUGCCAGCGGGUUAUGCCGGGGACUCGUAGGAGACUGCCGGGGUCAACUCGGAGGAAGGUGGGGAUGACGUCAAGUCAUCAUGCCCCUUAUGUCCAGGGCUUCACACAUGCUACAAAUGGCCGGUACAAAGGGCUGCGAUUACCGUGAGGUGGAGCGAAUCCCUUUCAAAGCCCGGUCUCAGUUCCGGAUCGGGGGUCUGCAACUCGACCCCGUGAAGUCGGGAGUCGCUAGUAAUCGCAGAUCAGCAAACGCUGCGGUGAAUACGUUCCCGGGCCCUUGUACACACCGCCCCGUCACGUCAUGAAAGUCGGGAACACCCCGGAAGCCCGGGUGCCUAACCCCUUGGGGAAGGGAGGCCGUCGAAGGUGGGGAUCCGCCGAUGGGGAACGAAGUCGUAACAAGGGUAAACCAUGGGGU
Molecule: ribosomal RNA, 1513 nt
Filed under: Mycobacterium sp. BAB-3808
Lineage: Bacteria; Bacillati; Actinomycetota; Actinomycetes; Mycobacteriales; Mycobacteriaceae
Description: bacterial SSU rRNA
Rfam family: Bacterial small subunit ribosomal RNA
Source: RNAcentral